RNAcentral lists this unclassified non-coding RNA (229 nucleotides) under Hevea brasiliensis (rubber tree). Lineage: Eukaryota; Viridiplantae; Streptophyta; Magnoliopsida; Malpighiales; Euphorbiaceae. The record is from RNAcentral.
UGUCCCAAUACAAUUUGGUUAUGAUAUAGACUAAGUGUUUAGGCUUAGAUUGGCGAAUCCUACCCCUUAUAUAUUUUUAUAGCACUGAGAAGAUCAAGGCUACCAUCGUAAGAGAUCCAGGUGCCCUUUCUCAUAAAUAUAUGAGUACGUGCGUCUUUCAUCCGGAUGCCUAUUUUGAUCAUUUUGAUUAUAAUGUAUCAAAUGUACUUUUGCAUUAGACAAACAGCUG